GAGGGUAUAGCUCAGUGAUAGAGUGCAUGCUUAGCACUCACGAGGUCCUGGGUUCAAUCCCCAGUACCUCCA
Molecule: transfer RNA, 72 nt
Filed under: Camelus bactrianus (Bactrian camel)
Lineage: Eukaryota; Metazoa; Chordata; Mammalia; Artiodactyla; Camelidae
Also listed under: 2 other names
Rfam family: tRNA
About the family: Transfer RNA (tRNA) molecules are approximately 80 nucleotides in length. Their secondary structure includes four short double-helical elements and three loops (D, anti-codon, and T loops). Further hydrogen bonds mediate the characteristic L-shaped molecular structure. tRNAs have two regions of fundamental functional importance: the anti-codon, which is responsible for specific mRNA codon recognition, and the 3' end, to which the tRNAs corresponding amino acid is attached (by aminoacyl-tRNA synthetases). tRNAs cope with the degeneracy of the genetic code in two manners: having more than one tRNA (with a specific anti-codon) for a particular amino acid; and 'wobble' base-pairing, i.e. permitting non-standard base-pairing at the 3rd anti-codon position.
Source: Rfam by way of RNAcentral